This 301-nucleotide ribosomal RNA is filed under the name uncultured bacterium. Its description in RNAcentral is "partial 16S ribosomal RNA". It matches the Rfam family "Bacterial small subunit ribosomal RNA", at positions 509 to 807 of the family's 1533-position model. The record is from RNAcentral.
CAGCAGCCGCGGGAAUACGAAGGUCCCGAGCGUUGUUCGGAAUCACUGGGCGUAAAGGGAGCGUAGGCGGCGUGGUAAGUCAGAUGUGAAAUCCCGGGGCUCAACCCCGGAACUGCAUCCGAUACUGCCAUGCUAGAGGAUUGGAGAGGUAGCUGGAAUUCUUGGUGUAGCAGUGAAAUGCGUGGAGAUCAAGAGGAACACUCGUGGCGAAAGCGAGCUACUGGACAAUAACUGACGCUGAGGCUCGAAGGCCAGGGUAGCGAAAGGGAUUAGAUACCCCUGUAGUCCCUGUCUCUUAUAC